AAUUCCCACCUCCAUGUCUGGCUCUCUACCUACCUGCAUAUAUAUAUAUAUAUAUACACACACACACACACACACACACACACACACACACACACACAUAUGUUUUUUUGCUAGAGCUGCCUACAUCAUUCUGUAUUAGUUCAUACAAGCCCCUCCUCCAUGUUUUCCUGAUUCAUUGGUCUAAGGCACUUUUUAUACUAAUUUAUUAUAUGCAGUAGUAUUUCAUUAUAUUUAGUUUGUUUAGCCAGCCCCAAUUGAUGGACAUCUACUUUGCUUCCAGUUCUAUCCACUACAUCACCUAAGCUCCCCAGGAUAUAUGGUUUCUUUCUAUCUUUGAACUCCUUGGAGUUAUAUAUUUAAAAGUUAGGAAUAUGGAUCAAAGGAUACAAAUAAUGAAGCUAUUUUUCCUCUAUUCCCUCAUUCUAUCAGGACCUGAUAAUUGGAAAAGAUAAUUUAUUUAGUCUUUCAUUCUAUUAUUUAUUAAAUGUUCACUGUGGUCCUAGGCAUGAAGCAGAUACAAGAGUUUGGGGAAAACAGAAAACAUAUUACAAAAACAAAAACUGGACAUAGAAGCAUAAUCUAAUGAACAAUCAGUGACUUGGACACUUACAUAUUCUCUUUCUCCAAAAAACAUAAAUGUUGAUCAUUUUUUACUUGUUUUAAUGAUAAUUCAAAUCAUUAACAUAUGAAGGUAUGAAUUAGAAGAAUAAUUGCUCUUCUCAACAUGGUACUCAUCAACAAGAAGCUAUGAGUUGCUGAAGUUGAAAUGAAGACAAUCUGGAGAUUGGAGAGAGUGUGAAGUCACCACUUGAUGCUAGAACUGGUGAUAGAGAAGGUGAGGAAAACUGAUUAUAAUCAGAUGUGUAUUUCAGAUUUGGAGAGAGCAGAUUCUAGAAACUAUUAUUAUUCUAUUAUUCUAAAGCAUUUAGUAUGGGCCUACAAUCAAAGAGACUUCACAGAAAUUCAACCAAAGAGGGCUGGCACUGAAUGUCUGGAACAAUGGGAAGGUCACCAGGAUACUGUUGUGAAAUGAAAAUAAACUACUGACGAAAUUGCA
Long non-coding RNA from Monodelphis domestica (gray short-tailed opossum), 1057 nucleotides. The record is from Ensembl. Lineage: Eukaryota; Metazoa; Chordata; Mammalia; Didelphimorphia; Didelphidae.